Tarenaya hassleriana is the source of this 131-nucleotide long non-coding RNA. RefSeq lists it as uncharacterized. NCBI's taxonomy places the organism in Eukaryota, Viridiplantae, Streptophyta, Magnoliopsida, Brassicales, Cleomaceae. The transcript is spliced from 2 exons. The record is from RefSeq and is a predicted model, not a curated record.
CAGACGUGUUCUUCGAUUGAUACAGGCCCCGGAUCGAUUGAGGAAAGAACGGAAAACGAGCUUCACCGAAAUAUUUUCAAGAGAUUCAGACGAAAACAUAUAACUGCGGAAUCGAUCUGCAAAAAAAAAAA